Small nucleolar RNA from Rattus rattus (black rat), 144 nucleotides. RefSeq annotates it as small nucleolar RNA SNORA48. The transcript has a single exon. The record is from RefSeq and is a predicted model, not a curated record. Lineage: Eukaryota; Metazoa; Chordata; Mammalia; Rodentia; Muridae.
CCUUCUUGCAAUGGGCAAAGAGAUACCUUGGGCGAUGGGGUUGUUCUUACAUCAGCCAGGGGCAGAGCAGGUGACAGUCCUUUGUUCAUCCUAGCUUGAUACCUGGCUUGGUGGCCAAAGCUGUUUUAUGCCUAGGAUAAAAAA